RNAcentral lists this ribosomal RNA (459 nucleotides) under uncultured bacterium. RNAcentral's name for it is "bacterial SSU rRNA". It matches the Rfam family "Bacterial small subunit ribosomal RNA", at positions 954 to 1409 of the family's 1533-position model. The record is from RNAcentral.
GCACAACGCGAAGAACCUUACCAGGCCUUGACAUGCAGAGAACUUUCCAGAGAUGGAUUGGUGCCUUCGGGAACUCUGACACAGGUGCUGCAUGGCUGUCGUCAGCUCGUGUCGUGAGAUGUUGGGUUAAGUCCCGCAACGAGCGCAACCCUUGUCCUUAGUUGCCAGCACGUAAAGGUGGGAACUCUAAGGUGACUGCCGGUGACAAACCGGAGGAAGGUGGGGAUGACGUCAAAUCAUCAUGCCCCUUAUGACCUGGGCUACACACGUGCUACAAUGGAUGGUACAAAGGGCUGCAAGACCGCGAGGUCAAGCCAAUCCCAUAAAGCCAGUCGUAGUCCGGAUCGCAGUCUGCAACUCGACUGCGUGAAGUCGGAAUCGCUAGGUAAUCGUGGAUCAGAAUGUCACGGUGAAUACGUUCCCGGGGUCUUGUACACACCGAGUCGUGGGGGAGGGCAA